GACGAAGGAUGCAAGCGUUGUUCGGAAUUACUGGGCGUAAAGCGCGCGUAGGCGGCUUUGUAAGUUAGAGGUGAAAGCCCGAAGCUCAACUUCGGAAUUGCCUUUAAGACUGCAUCGCUAGAAUCAUGGAGAGGUGAGUGGAAUUCCGAGUGUAGAGGUGAAAUUCGUAGAUAUUCGGAGGAACACCAGUGGCGAAGGCGGCUCACUGGUCCAUUACUGACGCUGAGGUGCGAAAGCGUGGGGAGCAAACAGG
Molecule: ribosomal RNA, 253 nt
Filed under: uncultured bacterium
Lineage: Bacteria
Description: partial 16S ribosomal RNA
Rfam family: Bacterial small subunit ribosomal RNA
Source: RNAcentral